GGAAUGCAGACGAAUCAUGAUUCUGGGGUGGAGGAGCAAACAACGGAGGAAUUCCCAGUAAUGGUGGAAAGAAGGGCGCUCCGCUACGGUGCUCCGGAUCAAAACUAGGACCUCAAACAUGUGAACUUUCACAUGGAGCCAGUAUGUGGAAAAGCAUCUAAAUACCCUAGAAUCUGGCAUGGAAGGAAAGUGAACACCAUUUGCCAUUUCAUACAAAGGCUUCAGUGGCACAUUCCCUACAUCACUCUGGACUAGAAAAAGUUUGGUUUUUUUUCCCUGAGGAUCUACUGUAUUUACUAGCACUAGGCUACCCUGAGGUGAGUAGCUUUUCUCUCCAACCCUUCUGCCAUGUUUUGGCCUCCCCAUAGUCCAGAAGCAACAGUGCCAAGUGAUGAUGGAACGAAACCUCUGAAACUAUAGGUAAAAAAUAAAUCUUUCCUCCUAUUUUUUCCUCAUGCUAUUUGGUCUCAACUACUACAAGUAAACUAACACAGGCCUAUUUUUGUAAAUAAAAUGUUACUUUUACCAUAACAGCAGAAUACUGUAGUUGUGACAAGACCAUAAUGCCUACAAAAUCUAAAAUAUUACCUGAUCCU
Chinchilla lanigera (long-tailed chinchilla) is the source of this 596-nucleotide long non-coding RNA. RefSeq lists it as uncharacterized. The transcript has 4 exons. NCBI's taxonomy places the organism in Eukaryota, Metazoa, Chordata, Mammalia, Rodentia, Chinchillidae. The record is from RefSeq and is a predicted model, not a curated record.